RNAcentral lists this ribosomal RNA (499 nucleotides) under uncultured bacterium. RNAcentral describes it as "bacterial SSU rRNA". It matches the Rfam family "Bacterial small subunit ribosomal RNA", at positions 8 to 507 of the family's 1533-position model. The record is from RNAcentral.
AGAGUUUGAUCAUGGCUCAGGAUGAACGCUAGCGGGAGGCCUAACACAUGCAAGCCGAGCGGUAUAGAAUCUUCGGAUUUUAGAGAGCGGCGUACGGGUGCGGAACACGUGUGCAACCUACCUUUAUCUGGAGGAUAGCCUUUCGAAAGGAGGAUUAAUACUCCAUAAUAUAUUGAUUGGCAUCAAUUAAAUAUUGAAAGCUCCGGCGGAUAGAGAUGGGCACGCGCAAGAUUAGUUAGUUGGUGAGGUAACGGCUCACCAAGACGAUGAUCUUUAGGGGGGCCUGAGAGGGUGAUCCCCACACUGGUACUGAGACACGGACCAGACUCCUACGGGAGGCAGCAGUGAGGAAUAUUGGACAAUGGGUGCAAGCCUGAUCCAGCCAUCCCGCGUGAAGGACGACUGCCUAUGGGUUGUAAACUUCUUUUGUAUAGGGAUAAACCUCUCCUCGUGAGGAGAGCUGAAGGUACUAUACGAAUAAGCACCGGCUAACUCCGUG